GGACGGUUAGCUCAGCUGGUUAGAGCACUGCAUUCACAUUGCAGGGGUCACUGGUUCGAAUCCAGUACCGUCCACAA
This 77-nucleotide transfer RNA is filed under the name Candidatus Liptonbacteria bacterium RIFCSPLOWO2_01_FULL_45_15. Its description in RNAcentral is "tRNA-Val". It matches the Rfam family "tRNA". Rfam says of the family: Transfer RNA (tRNA) molecules are approximately 80 nucleotides in length. Their secondary structure includes four short double-helical elements and three loops (D, anti-codon, and T loops). Further hydrogen bonds mediate the characteristic L-shaped molecular structure. tRNAs have two regions of fundamental functional importance: the anti-codon, which is responsible for specific mRNA codon recognition, and the 3' end, to which the tRNAs corresponding amino acid is attached (by aminoacyl-tRNA synthetases). tRNAs cope with the degeneracy of the genetic code in two manners: having more than one tRNA (with a specific anti-codon) for a particular amino acid; and 'wobble' base-pairing, i.e. permitting non-standard base-pairing at the 3rd anti-codon position. The record is from RNAcentral. Lineage: Bacteria; Candidatus Liptoniibacteriota.